Molecule: ribosomal RNA, 253 nt
Filed under: uncultured bacterium
Lineage: Bacteria
Description: partial 16S ribosomal RNA
Rfam family: Bacterial small subunit ribosomal RNA
Source: RNAcentral
UACGUAGGGUGCAAGCGUUGUCCGGAAUUAUUGGGCGUAAAGAGCUCGUAGGCGGUUUGUCGCGUCUGCUGUGAAAACCCGAGGCUCAACCUCGGGCCUGCAGUGGGUACGGGCAAACUAGAGUGCGGUAGGGGAGAAUGGAAUUCCUGGUGUAGCGGUGAAAUGCGCAGAUAUCAGGAGGAACACCGGUGGCGAAGGCGGAUCUCUGGGCCAUUACUGACGCUGAGGAGCGAAAGCGUGGGGAGCAAACAGG